Bicyclus anynana (squinting bush brown) is the source of this 2007-nucleotide long non-coding RNA. RefSeq lists it as uncharacterized. The transcript is spliced from 5 exons. NCBI's taxonomy places the organism in Eukaryota, Metazoa, Arthropoda, Insecta, Lepidoptera, Nymphalidae. The record is from RefSeq and is a predicted model, not a curated record.
UUGACGCCUGUGACUCAAUAAUUACAAAUAAAAGUACUUUUAGGAUUUUUUUGAAUUUUGUACUAUACCUUGUAAGUAAGGUAUUAGUUUGUAAGUCAAUAAAAUCAGAAUUAGAAAAGUUUUUCAUGUAAAAUAUGACGAAAGUUGAGAAUAUAUAGUAGGUACCUACCUACAUACUUAUUUCAUAAAGCAGAAUUACAGUUUUAGAGUUAGUUGAAGUGAAUUUAAUUAAUUGUGUUAUUUUUGUAGUGUUUACCGACAUUGCCAUGUACAAUACAAUGCAUGUAGCAUUUGUAUUGUACGCGGAAACGGAACGAAAAAGAUGUCUUUGUCGAGUUCAUUGCAAAACUUUCGUGUCGCGAUACCAGCAGGUUUUAGAAGAAAUACAAAGUCUUCGAACAACUGCUGUUCGCAAUGAAUUAGAGAUAAGUAAGUUAUAUGAAUGAAUGAAGGAAUUUUCUUCAUUCUCUGCGUUGAGCAAGUGACGUGGACUAUGGGCCUAACCCCUCUCAUUCUGAGAGGAGACUCGAGCUCAGCAGUGAGCCGAAUAUGGUAUUUUUAUAAGGUCUUGGCAGCUUUAAACUUUUAUGCCAAUGGAUCAUACAAAUGGCUUUGUGAUGGCUAAGGCAUCUUUUAGCAAAUGCCUACAUGAAGUCGCUGAUGCUCCUGAAUACCCCAGCUGUUUAAAAAAAAUGUGUUAAGUUCCCUUUGCAUUAAACACAAAAUCAUUAUAAAUAAAUUUAUGAAAAAAUUUGGAUUGCCCGGGUAUUAGGGCGCAUUGAUUGCACCCAUGUGACAAUAGUUCGGCCUACAAGCCAAGAGCUACUAGGAGGCUAACAAUUAGAAUUGAAUAAAAGCAUGGUACCUCCUUUUAUUUAAACAUUAACUUAUUUAUAUAUUGUCAAUUAAUAUUUCAGAUAUGUGAUGCCAAUCUAAUAAUAACAUAGUGGAUGCUCAAUUUGGUGGUGCAUCUUAUGACUUGUACAUAUGGAACCAGUGCAAUAAGACCACUUGAGGAAAACCUGCCCAAUAGGGACCGCUGUUGGUUGUUAGGUGACCAAUGUUUGCAUGAUGACCCCCAUCUUGGGAGCUGCUCCUAGAUCCCAUGAAGAUAUGCACAACAUUGCUGUGUCAGAAAUACGGUGGAGCCUUGUAGUUGGGUGCAUAUUGUAAAAUGUUUCCUCACUCCAAAACCAUGAACUCUGGUUUCCUAAACCCUCAAGCUAUGCAGCCGAAGGAGGAGACUUAUCACAGGAGAAUCACUAAUAAUUUUGAAGAAGUGAAGAGCUUAAGAAUGUUUCAACCAACACCUAAAGAAGCUUUCACUUGGCUGUUAGAUCAAGGGCUGGAUACAGAAAACAGUAAUCCUUGUGAUGGCAGUAUUGUCCAAGGAUUCCUCACUCAAAACCAUGAUAACAAGUUGCUAGAACCCUCAAGCUAUGCAGACAAAGGACUGGAUAUAUUUUUUCGUGACCAAGCCUUCUGUAUAAUUAUUUAUACUUAAACCAUACAAAGCACUAUCUAGCCCCAAAGUAGGCAUACAGAGUAGCUUGUGUUGUGGGUACUAAGAUAGUUGAUAUUAUAAUAUUCAUUUACAUUUAUAUACUACCUAUAAAUACUUAUAUAAUGUAUAAAUACACACACACUGGAAAAAACCCAUGCUCUUCACACAAAUAUUUUCCAGGUGUGGGAAUCGAACCCAUGACCGUGGAUGCAGGAGCACUACUUACUGCGCCACGCGUAUGUGUUUUUAUUUUGAAGCAAAUUAUUAAAGUUGAUAAUUCAAAUUGUAGUCAUGUUUUUAAUUAAUCUAUAAUUAAUUUUUAAUUUACAUUUUGUUAAAUAUUUACCUAUACUUCAGUCUAUUUUUGUUAGAGGGGGUACCUAUAUGUGUAAGUAGGGUCGUUUCUUGAUUAAAUUAAACUAAAGAAUGAAAGAUAUAUAUUAUAACAAAAUUUGUCAACAACAAUAUAUCAAGUCUGAAUAAAAAAUACCAACACAAGUAAA